This 440-nucleotide ribosomal RNA is filed under the name uncultured bacterium. RNAcentral describes it as "partial 16S ribosomal RNA". It matches the Rfam family "Bacterial small subunit ribosomal RNA", at positions 338 to 795 of the family's 1533-position model. The record is from RNAcentral.
CCUACGGGAGGCUGCAGUGGGGGAUAUUGCACAAUGGGGGGAACCCUGAUGCAGCGACGCCGCGUGGGUGAAGAAGCGCCUCGGCGCGUAAAGCCCUGUCAGCAGGGAAGAAAAUGACGGUACCUGCAGAAGACUCCCCGGCUACCUACGUCCCAGCCGCCGCGGUAAUACGUAGGGGGCAAGCGUUAUCCGGAUUUACUGGGUGGAAGGGGGGCGCAGACGGCGAUGCAAGCCAGGAGUGAAAGCCCGGGGCCCAACCCCGGGCCUGCUCUUGGAACUGCAUGGCUGGAGUGUAGGAGGGGCAGGCGGAAUUCCUGGUGUAGCGGUGAAAUGCGUAGAUAUCAGGAGGAACACCGGUGGCGAAGGCGGCCUGCUGGACUGCAACUGACGUUGAGGCCCGAAAGCGUGGGGAGCAAACAGGAUUAGAUACCCGAGUAGUC